Notechis scutatus (mainland tiger snake) is the source of this 219-nucleotide non-coding RNA. The record is from RefSeq and is a predicted model, not a curated record. Lineage: Eukaryota; Metazoa; Chordata; Lepidosauria; Squamata; Elapidae.
CUCUAAUGCAGUGGUUCUCAAACUUCCUUAUGCCGCGACUCUUUAAUACAGUUCCUCAUGUUGUGGUGACCCCCAAUCAUAAAAUUAUGGCUUGGUUCCUAAGACCAUUGAAAAUAUGUGUUUCCGAUGGUCUCAGGCGACCCCUGUGAAAGGGUUGUUUGACCCCCAAAGAGGUUGCGACCCACAGGUUGAGAACCACUGCUCUAAAUCAUACUGUCU